Molecule: non-coding RNA, 685 nt
Organism: Pelobates cultripes (western spadefoot toad)
Lineage: Eukaryota; Metazoa; Chordata; Amphibia; Anura; Pelobatidae
Source: the annotation of a GenBank genome assembly
AACUCUUUGCUUGGUGAAACUAAGAUAAUACCAAAUAAACUGAUUAACAUCUGGGAGAAGGAAUUAAAUUUGAUGAUUCCCUUUAAUGACUGGCUAGCCUCGUUAAUAAAAGUAAAUAAAUAUAUACAUUGUCUAACCCUGACUGAGUGCCAUUUUAAGGUAGUUCAUAGAUGGUAUUUCACUCCAACAAGAUUGACAAAAAUGUAUCAAUCAUAUGAUUCCACUUACUGGAGAUGUGGCUUGUCUCUGGGCACAUAUAUGCAUAUUUGGUGAGAUUGCCCAUUAGUUAAACCCUUGUGGAUAUGGGCAUUUAAUUCCAUCUAUGCAGUUACAGGUAUUAGACUCAAUCAAAACCCGGACACCACCCUUUUACACUUGAAUUGGCAGUUAAAAUCGAAAGAACACACAUGUUAUGCUAUACAUUGUUUUGUUGCGGUCAAAAUCAAUAUAGCCAGACAUUGGAAGUCCUCAAAUUUUUUCCAGAAAUCUUGUUUUAUUGAUCAAAUUAUAUUUCAGUUAACAAUGGAAAAAGAUAUUGGUAUGGUAUUCUAAUUGGCUUCAUAAACUUACCCAUAUUUAAUGGUAACAAAUUUAUGGCUCGUGUCUCUUAUUUAUAUAACAAGGGGAAAAAAUGGACAAGAAAAGGGCAAAGAAAAGGAUAGGAAGAGGAAAGAAAAGGGAAGAA